RNAcentral lists this ribosomal RNA (688 nucleotides) under Listeria monocytogenes. Its description in RNAcentral is "bacterial SSU rRNA". It matches the Rfam family "Bacterial small subunit ribosomal RNA", at positions 852 to 1533 of the family's 1533-position model. The record is from RNAcentral. Lineage: Bacteria; Bacillati; Bacillota; Bacilli; Caryophanales; Listeriaceae.
CUAACGCAUUAAGCACUCCGCCUGGGGAGUACGACCGCAAGGUUGAAACUCAAAGGAAUUGACGGGGGCCCGCACAAGCGGUGGAGCAUGUGGUUUAAUUCGAAGCAACGCGAAGAACCUUACCAGGUCUUGACAUCCUUUGACCACUCUGGAGACAGAGCUUUCCCUUCGGGGACAAAGUGACAGGUGGUGCAUGGUUGUCGUCAGCUCGUGUCGUGAGAUGUUGGGUUAAGUCCCGCAACGAGCGCAACCCUUGAUUUUAGUUGCCAGCAUUUAGUUGGGCACUCUAAAGUGACUGCCGGUGCAAGCCGGAGGAAGGUGGGGAUGACGUCAAAUCAUCAUGCCCCUUAUGACCUGGGCUACACACGUGCUACAAUGGAUAGUACAAAGGGUCGCGAAGCCGCGAGGUGGAGCUAAUCCCAUAAAACUAUUCUCAGUUCGGAUUGUAGGCUGCAACUCGCCUACAUGAAGCCGGAAUCGCUAGUAAUCGUGGAUCAGCAUGCCACGGUGAAUACGUUCCCGGGCCUUGUACACACCGCCCGUCACACCACGAGAGUUUGUAACACCCGAAGUCGGUAGGGUAACCUUUAUGGAGCCAGCCGCCGAAGGUGGGACAGAUAAUUGGGGUGAAGUCGUAACAAGGUAGCCGUAUCGGAAGGUGCGGCUGGAUCACCUCCUUUCUAAGGAA